CACACCAACAAAGGCACCAGGUGUUAAAAUAAAACAGCACAGCCUCUCACACACCAAUGUAGGUACCUGGGGUUGAUUUCCCUCCGGUCCCUCCCACCAAGCGGGAUGAUGGGGCUAAAAGAUCACAUUAGAUUUACACAUGACUGCAGUUCUGGCCAUGUUUAAAACCAAAUCCAAACUUCUGUGAACACUUUUCAAACACUG
Long non-coding RNA from Haliotis rubra (blacklip abalone), 204 nucleotides. RefSeq lists it as uncharacterized. Lineage: Eukaryota; Metazoa; Mollusca; Gastropoda; Lepetellida; Haliotidae. The transcript has 2 exons. The record is from RefSeq and is a predicted model, not a curated record.